Molecule: non-coding RNA, 912 nt
Organism: Labrus bergylta (ballan wrasse)
Lineage: Eukaryota; Metazoa; Chordata; Actinopteri; Labriformes; Labridae
Source: RefSeq, a predicted model, not a curated record
CCGGAAGGAGAGGGACGGUGCACACCCUCAUCCAUGCCGGCUGUUUUAUUUGUGUGCGUCUGGGAAAACUGUUGUCAUUUGGUUCGCAACGUUAGGACACAUCAGGUGUGACUUCAGGGGCUGAUCGCCAAGUGAGUGUCUCUGGUGUGUAGCGGAGCUUGCGAUCGCAAAGUCGCCGGGUGUUGUACUUGGCGGGGGUUGCUGGGAAGGUUUGGGCCCAGCACACCAGGUACGCACAGCGAUAUGUAUUUUUGUCUAAUAAAGCUAUGGCCACUGUGUAAUCGAUGUUGAGGAUAUGGUUUUGUAUUUUGUUUAUUUUGGGAUUAGGGUCAUUUAUUAAGGUGACCAACUAAUGCUUCUAUUUUCUGUGUUUUAGGGAGCCUGGCAGAUUUCCUCUGCUGCUCUUACUGUGUGGGUUUUUGUUUGUUUUCUUCUGUGAUAAUUUUUGUUUCUGUAUUUUGUUUCUAGUCUGCCUGGCAUAUGAGCCGGUAUUUGAGGCAAAAGAUCUUUGGGGUUGCCUCAGUAGGUGGACUAGUUUAUUUUUUUGUUUUUCAUUUUGUUUGUUUUGUUUGUUUUAAUUGUCACCACUUCCCCAGUGCAGCGUCAGGGCGGAGUUUAUUGCAUGCCAAUAGUGUGAAUAUAGUUGAAGUUGCAGUGAUAUUGCAUGCUCUUACAUAGUGUGAUUUAAGUUGCAGUGAUAUUGUGACAAGGAGUCUUUUUACUCCCUUACUGUAGAAGUGUGACACUGAAUUCCUCCUCAGUAAAGCAUCAAAAUACCUGCCCAAGCCAUACUUCCGCCCAUAAGACAUUGAAGUCUGCGGCGAUUAUCUUAUGGUGACUCAUGAAUUUUAUGUUAGUUAAUUUAAUAAACCUUGCCACCUUUUCUCUUUAAAUCUGUUUCUGUGUUUCAUU